RNAcentral lists this ribosomal RNA (256 nucleotides) under uncultured bacterium. Its description in RNAcentral is "partial 16S ribosomal RNA". It matches the Rfam family "Bacterial small subunit ribosomal RNA", at positions 524 to 776 of the family's 1533-position model. The record is from RNAcentral.
UACGGAGGGUGCGAGCGUUGUCCGGAAUCAUUGGGCGUAAAGGGCGCGUAGGUGGCCCGGUCAGUCCGUGGUGAAAGCGCGGGGCUCAACCCUGCGUCGGCCAUGGAUACUGCCGCGGCUCGAGCACUGUAGAGGCAGGCGGAAUUCCGGGUGUAGCGGUGGAAUGCGUAGAGAUCCGGAAGAACACCGGUGGCGAAGGCGGCCUGCUGGGCAGUUUAGCUGACACUGAGGCGCGACAGCGUGGGGAUCAAACAGG